This 455-nucleotide ribosomal RNA is filed under the name uncultured bacterium. RNAcentral's name for it is "bacterial SSU rRNA". It matches the Rfam family "Bacterial small subunit ribosomal RNA", at positions 340 to 786 of the family's 1533-position model. The record is from RNAcentral.
UACGGAAGGCAGCAGUGGGGAAUAUUGCACAAUGGGCGCAAGCCUGAUGCAGCCAUGCCGCGUGUAUGAAGAAGGCCUUCGGGUUGUAAAGUACUUUCAGUCGUGAGGAAGGUGUUAAGGUUAAUAACCUUAGCAAUUGACGUUAGCGACAGAAGAAGCACCGGCUAACUCCGUGCCAGCAGCCGCGGUAAUACGGAGGGUGCGAGCGUUAAUCGGAAUUACUGGGCGUAAAGGGCACGCAGGCGGUUAAUUAAGUUGGAUGUGAAAUCCCCGGGCUUAACCUGGGAAUGGCAUUCAAGACUGGUUAGCUAGAGUCUUGUAGAGGGGGUAGAAUUCCAUGUGUAGCGGUGAAAUGCGUAGAGAUGUGGAGGAAUACCGGGUGGCGAAGGCGGCCCCUGGGACAAAGGCUGACGCUCAUGUGCGAAAGCGUGGGGAGCAAACGAGGAUUAGAUACC